This 218-nucleotide ribosomal RNA is filed under the name uncultured prokaryote. RNAcentral describes it as "partial 16S ribosomal RNA". It matches the Rfam family "Bacterial small subunit ribosomal RNA", at positions 524 to 741 of the family's 1533-position model. The record is from RNAcentral.
UACGGAGGGUGCAAGCGUUGUUCGGAAUUAUUGGGCGUAAAGCGCGUGUAGGCGGUUAUCUAAGUCUGGUGUGAAAGCCCGGGGCUCAACCCCGGAAGUGCACUGGAUACUGGAUGGCUAGAGGGUGAGAGAGGGAAGCGGAAUUCCUGGAGUAGGGGUGAAAUCCGUAGAUAUCAGGAGGAACAUCAGUUGCGAAGGCGGCUUCCUGGCUCAUUUCU